UAUAGGGCCGAAAGACUAAUCGAACCAUCUAGUAG
RNAcentral lists this ribosomal RNA (35 nucleotides) under Oryza sativa Japonica Group (Japanese rice). Its description in RNAcentral is "28S ribosomal RNA". Lineage: Eukaryota; Viridiplantae; Streptophyta; Magnoliopsida; Poales; Poaceae. The record is from RNAcentral.